This 245-nucleotide ribosomal RNA is filed under the name uncultured Lachnospiraceae bacterium. Its description in RNAcentral is "partial 16S ribosomal RNA". It matches the Rfam family "Bacterial small subunit ribosomal RNA", at positions 524 to 768 of the family's 1533-position model. The record is from RNAcentral. Lineage: Bacteria; Bacillati; Bacillota; Clostridia; Lachnospirales; Lachnospiraceae.
UACGUAGGGAGCAAGCGUUAUCCGGAUUUAUUGGGUGUAAAGGGUGCGUAGACGGAUUUGCAAGUUGGCUGUGAAAUCCCGAGGCUUAACUUCGGAAUUGCAACCAAAACUACAAGUCUUGAGUACUGGAGGGGAAUGCGGAAUUCCUAGUGUAGCGGUGAAAUGCGUAGAUAUUAGGAAGAACACCGGUGGCGAAGGCGGCAUUCUGGACAGUAACUGACGUUGAGGCACGAAAGUGUGGGGAG